RNAcentral lists this ribosomal RNA (514 nucleotides) under uncultured bacterium. Its description in RNAcentral is "bacterial SSU rRNA". It matches the Rfam family "Bacterial small subunit ribosomal RNA", at positions 374 to 879 of the family's 1533-position model. The record is from RNAcentral.
GACGAAAGUCUGACGGAGCAACGCCGCGUGAGUGAAGAAGGUUUUCGGAUCGUAAAGCUCUGUCUUCAGGGACGAAUGUGCUUAAUGUGAAUAAUGUUAAGUAAUGACGGUACCUGAGGAGGAAGCCACGGCUAACUACGUGCCAGCAGCCGCGGUAAUACGUAGGUGGCAAGCGUUGUCCGGAAUUAUUGGGCGUAAAGCGCGCGCAGGCGGGAAUGUAAGUCUGUCUUAAAAGUUCGGGGCUCAACCCCGUGAUGGGAUGGAAACUACAUUUCUUGAGUGCAGGAGAGGAAAGUGGAAUUCCUAGUGUAGCGGUGAAAUGCGUAGAUAUUAGGAGGAACACCAGUGGCGAAGGCGACUUUCUGGACUGUGUCUGACGCUGAGGCGCGAAAGCCAGGGGAGUGAACGGGAUUAGAUACCCCGGUAAUCCUGACCGUAAACGAUGGGUACUAGGUGUAGGAGGUAUCGACCCCUUCUGUGCCGGAGUUAACGCAAUAAGUACCCCGCCUGGGGA